This 484-nucleotide ribosomal RNA is filed under the name uncultured bacterium. Its description in RNAcentral is "partial 16S ribosomal RNA". It matches the Rfam family "Bacterial small subunit ribosomal RNA", at positions 30 to 507 of the family's 1533-position model. The record is from RNAcentral.
AUUGAACGCUGGCGGCAGGCCUAACACAUGCAAGUCGAGCGGAUGAAGGGAGCUUGCUCCUGGAUUCAGCGGCGGACGGGUGAGUAAUGCCUAGGAAUCUGCCUGGUAGUGGGGGAUAACGUCCGGAAACGGGCGCUAAUACCGCAUACGUCCUGAGGGAGAAAGUGGGGGAUCUUCGGACCUCACGCCCUCAGAUGAGCCUAGGUCGGAUUAGCUAGUUGGUGGGGUAAAGGCCUACCAAGGCGACGAUCCGUAACUGGUCUGAGAGGAUGAUCAGUCACACUGGAACUGAGACACGGUCCAGACUCCUACGGGAGGCAGCAGUGGGGAAUAUUGGACAAUGGGCGAAAGCCUGAUCCAGCCAUGCCGCGUGUGUGAAGAAGGUCUUCGGAUUGUAAAGCACUUUAAGUUGGGAGGAAGGGCAGUAAGUUAAUACCUUGCUGUUUUGACGUUACCAACAGAAUAAGCACCGGCUAACUUCGUG